GCACCCGCCUAUGGUAUCCUCACAGGUGCCUCUGCUCAGCUCUAUCUGCUUGUUCCCUUGACCACCCUGCAACCAGAUGACCACCGAUAGCAGCGCAGAAGAGGGAGCAGAUGAAAUACAACAGUUUAGUGAUGUAAGGCUGGAAAAAAGCCAUCAUAUGCUGGCAGCACUACGUGGGGCGCGGAUUUGUGCAAACAAGGAGAAAUGUGUUUGUCCCUCUUCAAAAGUUCUCGCUGGCUUGGUAAGUUGGAUGAUUUUCAGGGUCUUCUAUUUAUUUAUUUAUUUCCUCCUGGCUUUCUUGAUGCAGUAGAAGCGCCAGUCCCACUUACAGUAUGUACAGAUGUCCGUGCCUUGCUCUCAGACUCCCCGCAGGCGAACGAUGAUAAAUGAGGAGGAAAAGAAAGAUGGCUUUUAAAGAAUGACCUUAGGAAACAAACACUGCAGAAAUAGUUGCUAUGCCUGGUGUUUCGUCUGUGAAUGCCUGGGGAAAUUAACGCAUGUACAAGUGGGAAAUGCAUCCAUAUCUUUGGGCAGAGAAGACCAGAAGUUUUUGCACAGUAGCUGGCUCUUUGGGGCUGGACUUCUGCUGCUGUAUCUACGGGUUUCUUUUCUAAAAGGGAAAAGAGAUCAUUGCUGAAAGAUAUUUUAAAUGAAAUAUCAAAUACACAGUAAUUCUUAUUGCCUAAUGGUCCUCAUUUUUCUCAGUACUUGUCAGAUUUCUCCUUAGCUUGAGUGGCAAGUACCUUCUCUGUCAUACAGCAGCUGUGCUGUUGAUGGUUAACUUUUCAUGACCUCCCUCUUCUUGUUCUCUUUCUUUCUGUGAAAUAUGUUCAUAAUGUAUUUAGCCUCACUGUCUUUGGCAGUGAUUCUGAAUGGUAUUUGCCCUAGUGGGAUGGUUGCAUCAUUGGAUAUUUAUAUUUCAAAAAUAAAAACCUUGUUUGUUUCGUUAGUUCCA
Molecule: long non-coding RNA, 955 nt
Filed under: Anas platyrhynchos platyrhynchos (common mallard)
Lineage: Eukaryota; Metazoa; Chordata; Aves; Anseriformes; Anatidae
Description: lncRNA (ENSAPLG00000028092.1)
Source: RNAcentral